Long non-coding RNA from Hipposideros armiger (great roundleaf bat), 1783 nucleotides. RefSeq lists it as uncharacterized. The record is from RefSeq and is a predicted model, not a curated record. Lineage: Eukaryota; Metazoa; Chordata; Mammalia; Chiroptera; Hipposideridae. The transcript is spliced from 2 exons.
CUGUGACUCGUUUGGCCAAUCGGAUGAGGCGGAAGAGAUGGAACGCCGUCCCCGAGCCUAGGCCAGAAGCAGCCUGGGACCUUCCCACCGGCUCUGCUGUGCCUCUGCCGCUGCCCUGGGUGGGCUCCCGGUCCCGGCAGGGGAUAGAAGACAGAGCGGCCCCAGCUCAACUCAGCUUGGAGCAGAGCCACUGAGUCCAUCUGCAGACCCAGGCGGGCGCCCAGCCACGAUCAGCUGAGCCCCCACUGACCCACAGACUUGUGAGCAAUAAAAAGAAAUAAUUGUUGUAACACUUGGGAGGUCGUCUGUUAGGCGGAGCAGCGGAUACACCCUUUCCCCUUCAACUUCCCCAACCUCCCUCCUCCUCCUUUGUAGCAAACGACAUUAAGUGACUUCUGGUUACGUCUGUCCUACAAAGCCGAGCAGGAAAGACUUCUGCAAGCAGAUCACGGGAAGCCGCGGUUCCCUGCCGACAGCCCCACUGUCCUCACUGGAAACAGGACGUGACAUCAUAGCUCACAGCCCAGGCAGAGCACUGACCACCGCGGAAAGUUCAACGAGGCUGUCCGCAGCCUGGAAAUGCAGGCACCGAUGCAGCGAUCUGUCUGUCUGUCUGUCUACUUGGAAUUCAAGUCACUAUGAGAAAGGUGGGUGGGGUGUGUUGGCGAAGCCAUGGACGUGCCAGUGUCACUCGGCCAGGGUGAAGCGGGCAGAGCCUGAAAGGUCAGAGGACCCAGUCAUCACCCCUAGUCACAGGCCAUGUGACCACUGGGCACAUCCCAGGGAGCCUCGGUGACGACCUCAGUGUCUUCAUCUAUAGCCCAGGGUCAGUGCAACCUGUCUACCGGGUGCAGGAGAACCAACGGGGUGACAGACGCUACCUGGAAGGGCUUUAGAAACGUUACGCUGUAUUCUGCCACGUGCUGCCACAUGGAUGGACCCUGAGGACAUAAUGCUCAGUGACAGAAGCCAGACACACAAGGACAAAUGCUGCACAGUCCCACCUACGUGAGGUCCCUAGAUGGGGCAGGGCCACAGAGACAGGAAGUGGUGCCAGGGGCUGCGGGAGGGGAAGUGGGGCCUCAGUGAUUCAGGGGGGCAGUCUCUGGUUAAGAAGACGAAGGUGUUCUGGAAAUAGUCCUGACAGUUGCACAACAACGGGAACUUACUUACCACUGAACUGGACACUUAAAAAUGGUUACAAAGGUCAAUUUUAUGUUAUGUAUCUUUUACCACAAUAAAACAUUUUUUUAACGUGUAACUAUUAUAAAAUAGCAAAGUGAUGUUACAAUCCUUCGCCUGUAGCCCAAUAAGAAAGCUGCUUUCUGUGAACGUCCUGGCUCCCACUUCUAACCCGGAACUCAACCCCCACUCGGGCAGCGAGGUCUCUGCCCACAGAGCUCACAUCUCAUCUCUCUGUCCCUUGCUGUUGGCGCGUCCUGCCUCCACCACGGCUGGCUCAUCCCGAAGACGCACUGGUUUCUGCUCCUAUCGCAGAACACGGCUCCUGAGGGGAGACGCCCGUCUGCCUGCCCCUCAUCCCUGGGUCCAGGCAGCCCUUCCAGAAAAGACACCACGGCCCUGGCCAACCCCUCCUAGCGUUCCACAGUGACUCCUUGGAAAGUCCCUUCUGACAAAGCAAACAAACCAGUCCCCCUGGGCCUACAGCUGGCACAGACCAGGGAGAGGGACUGCCAGCCUCUGGGGCUGCCCACAGAAAUACCAUGCGAGCCUCAUGUACCACAGUACAUUUUCCAGUAGCCACAUUUUUAAAAAAUUAGAA